GAUGAACGCUGGCGGCGUGCCUAAUACAUGCAAGUCGAGCGAACAGACGAGGAGCUUGCUCCUCUGACGUUAGCGGCGGACGGGUGAGUAACACGUGGAUAACCUACCUAUAAGACUGGGAUAACUUCGGGAAACCGGAGCUAAUACCGGAUAAUAUAUUGAACCGCAUGGUUCAAUAGUGAAAGACGGUUUUGCUGUCACUUAUAGAUGGAUCCGCGCCGCAUUAGCUAGUUGGUAAGGUAACGGCUUACCAAGGCAACGAUGCGUAGCCGACCUGAGAGGGUGAUCGGCCACACUGGAACUGAGACACGGUCCAGACUCCUACGGGAGGCAGCAGUAGGGAAUCUUCCGCAAUGGGCGAAAGCAUGACGGAGCAACGCCGCGUGAGUGAUGAAGGUCUUCGGAUCGUAAAACUCUGUUAUUAGGGAAGAACAAAUGUGUAAGUAACGAUGCACGUCUUGACGGUACCUAAUCAGAAAGCCACGGCUAACUACGU
Molecule: ribosomal RNA, 496 nt
Filed under: uncultured bacterium
Lineage: Bacteria
Description: partial 16S ribosomal RNA
Rfam family: Bacterial small subunit ribosomal RNA
Source: RNAcentral